GCGGGUGUAGCUCAGCGGUAGAGCACUUGCUUGCCAAGCAAGUGGUCGCGGGUUCGAAACCCGUCACCCGCUCCA
Molecule: transfer RNA, 75 nt
Filed under: Fervidobacterium sp.
Lineage: Bacteria; Thermotogati; Thermotogota; Thermotogae; Thermotogales; Fervidobacteriaceae
Description: tRNA-Gly
Rfam family: tRNA
About the family: Transfer RNA (tRNA) molecules are approximately 80 nucleotides in length. Their secondary structure includes four short double-helical elements and three loops (D, anti-codon, and T loops).
Source: RNAcentral